Molecule: ribosomal RNA, 460 nt
Filed under: uncultured bacterium
Lineage: Bacteria
Description: partial 16S ribosomal RNA
Rfam family: Bacterial small subunit ribosomal RNA
Source: RNAcentral
UGAACGCUGACAGAAUGCUUAACACAUGCAAGUCUUUGGCGAAGCUGUGCUUGCACAGCCUAGCCAAGGCGGACGGGUGAGUAACGCGUAAGGAACUUGCCCUGCAGUCAGGGAUAACAGACGGAAACGACUGAUAAGACCUGGUAAAGUCAGGCGGACUCAUGUCCAGCCUGAUGAAAAGAGAUGCUGCAGGAGAGCCUUGCGUCCUAUUAGCUUGUUGGUGGGGUAACGGCCCACCAAGGCGAUGAUAGGUAGCCGGCCUGAGAGGGUGGACGGCCACAAGGGGACUGAGAUACGGCCCUUACUCCUACGGGAGGCAGCAGGGGGGAAUAUUGGACAAUGGGGGCAACCCUGAUCCAGCAAUUCUGUGUGCACGAUGAAGGUUUUCGGAUUGUAAAGUGCUUUCAGCAGGGAAGAAAAAAUGACGGUACCUGCAGAAGAAGCGACGGCUAAAUACGUG